RNAcentral lists this ribosomal RNA (1565 nucleotides) under Glomus sp. 17 SUN-2011. Its description in RNAcentral is "eukaryotic LSU rRNA". The stretch from base 723 to 1565 matches the Rfam family "Eukaryotic large subunit ribosomal RNA", at positions 1 to 694 of the family's 3401-position model. The record is from RNAcentral. Lineage: Eukaryota; Fungi; Glomeromycota; Glomeromycetes; Glomerales; Glomeraceae.
UCGCUCUUCAACGAGGAAUCCCUAGUAAGCGUAAGUCAUCAGCUUGCGUUGAUUACGUCCCUGCCCUUUGUACACACCGCCCGUCGCUACUACCGAUUGAAUGGCUUAGUGAGGCCUUCGGAUCGGCGAUUGAUGAGUAGCAAUAUUCGUCGAUUGCUGAAAAGUUGAACAAACUUGGUCAUUUAGAGGAAGUAAAAGUCGUAACAAGGUUUCCGUAGGUGAACCUGCGGAAGGAUCAUUAUAAAAUUUUUCACAUUUAUAUGUAAAAAAAUAAUAUAUAUAUUCAAAACCCACACUCUUAAUAAACCAUUAUAUUUUUUAUAAAAUAAUAAUAAAAAACAACUUUCAACAACGGAUCUCUUGGCUCUCGCAUCGAUGAAGAACGCAGCGAAUUGCGAUAAGUAAUGUGAAUUGCAGAAAUACGUGAAUCAUCGAAUCUUUGAACGCAUAUUGCACUCUCUGGUAAUCCGGAGAGUAUGCCUGUUUGAGGGUCAGUAAACAAACAUUAUCAUAAAUCUUUGAUUUAUGGAAUUGGGCAUUUAUUUCAAUACACAAGACUUAUUGCCUUAAAUUUACGUCGUUAUGAAAUUCUCUCUAAAUGGAGCAAUUAAACAUUCUCGUUUGGUUGGGACAUUUCAUUUACAAAAACUAUUACGAUUUUCACGCGCAAAGACGCUUUUAACAAAGUAAGGUCUCAGCUACGAUCGUAAGUUAUUUAACAAAGACCUCAAAUCAGGCAAGAAUACCCGCUGAACUUAAGCAUAUCAAUAAGCGGAGGAAAAGAAACUAACAAGGAUUCCCCUAGUAACGGCGAGUGAAGAGGGAAGAGCUCAAAUUUUAAAUCUAUCUUGUUCUUCAAGGUCGAGUUGUAAUUUGAAGAAGCGUUUUCUUGGAUUUGCAGCCGGUAGAAGUUCCUUGGAACAGGACAUCAUUGAGGGUGACAAUCCCGUCUGUGACCGGUUGCUCGUUCAUCUAUGAUACGCUUUCAAAGAGUCGAGUUGUUUGGGAUUGCAGCUCCAAAUGGGUGGUAAACAUCACCUAAGGCUAAAUAUUGGCGAGAGACCGAUAGCGAACAAGUACCGUAAGGGAAAGAUGAAAAGAACUUUGAAAAGAGAGUUAAAUAGUACGUGAAAUUGUUGAAAGGGAAACGAUUGAAGUCAGUCGUGCUGGCGCGUAAUCAGCCUACGAUUUGUCAAACAAGUAGUGUGGUGAGCCUCAAAACCGCUACAUUAUUUGUUUGGCUAAUCGUCGGUGCACUUUCGUUGUCGGCUGGUUAACAUCAAUUUCAAAUGUCAUAAAAAGGCUAGAGGGAUGUGGCUCCUUCGGGAGUGUUAUAACCUUUAGCGGAAUGUGGUGUUUGGGAUUGAGGAUUGCAACGAAUACCCUUAGGGCUGUUCCACCUGGUCUCUCUUUGGCAUCUUGGCGGCGACAGCUUGCUGACGUUGUUAAGAUUUGACAUUGAACAGGCUAGAGUGUGGGCAAAUUCGUUAAGGAUGUUAACGUAAUGGCUUUAAACGACCCGUCUUGAAACACGGACCAAGGAGUCUAGCAUAUAUGCGAGUGUU